CCUACGGGAGGCAGCAGUGAGGAAUAUUGGUCAAUGGACGAGAGUCUGAACCAGCCAAGUAGCGUGAAGGAUGACUGCCCUAUGGGUUGUAAACUUCUUUUAUAUGGGAAUAAAACGUUCCACGUGUGGGAUUUUGUAUGUACCAUAUGAAUAAGGAUCGGCUAACUCCGUGCCAGCAGCCGCGGUAAUACGGAGGAUCCGAGCGUUAUCCGGAUUUAUUGGGUUUAAAGGGAGCGUAGGUGGAUUGUUAAGUCAGUUGUGAAAGUUUGCGGCUUAACCGUAAAAUUGCAGUUGAAACUGGCAGUCUUGAGUACAGUAGAGGUGGGCGGAAUUCGUGGUGUAGCGGUGAAAUGCUUAGAUAUCACGAAGAACUCCGAUUGCGAAGGCAGUUCACUGGACUGCAACUGACACUGAGGCUCGAAAGUGAGGGUAUCAAACAGGAUUAGAUACCCCAGUAGUC
This 460-nucleotide ribosomal RNA is filed under the name uncultured bacterium. Its description in RNAcentral is "partial 16S ribosomal RNA". It matches the Rfam family "Bacterial small subunit ribosomal RNA", at positions 338 to 795 of the family's 1533-position model. The record is from RNAcentral.